CCUACGGGAGGCAGCAGUGGGGAAUAUUGGACAAUGGGGGGAACCCUGAUCCAGCGACGCCGCGUGAGGGAAGAAGGAUUUCGGUUUGUAAAGCUCUAUCAUCAGGGACGAAACAAGUGACGGUACCUGACGAAUAAGCCCCGGCUAAUUACGUGCCAGCAGCCGCGGUAAUACGUAGGGGGCAAGCGUUAUCCGGAUUUACUGGGUGUAAAGGGCGUGUAGACGGGGAAGCAAGUCUGAAGUGAAAUGCAGGGGCUCAACCCCUGGCCUGCAUUUGAAACUGUAUUGCUUGAGUGCAGGAGAGGUAGGUGGAAUUCCUAGUGUAGCGGUGAAAUGCGUAGAUAUUAGGAGGAACACCAGUGGCGAAGGCGGCUUACUGGACUGUAACUGACGUUGAGGCGCGAAAGCGUGGGGAGCAAACAGGAUUAGAUACCCGUGUAGUC
RNAcentral lists this ribosomal RNA (443 nucleotides) under uncultured bacterium. RNAcentral's name for it is "partial 16S ribosomal RNA". It matches the Rfam family "Bacterial small subunit ribosomal RNA", at positions 338 to 795 of the family's 1533-position model. The record is from RNAcentral.